UCGAUCUCAAAUCAGGUAGGAUUACCCGCUGAACUUAAGCAUAUCAAUAAGCGGAGGAAAAGAAACUAACAAGGAUUCCCCUAGUAACUGCGAGUGAAGCGGGAAGAGCUCAAAUUUAAAAUCUGGCGUGCCUCUGGUCGUCCGAGUUGUAGUCUGAAGAAGCGUUUUCCGUGUUGGACCGUGUACAAGUCUCUUGGAACAGGGCGUCAUAGAGGGUGAGAAUCCCGUCUUUGACACGGACUGCCAAUGCUUUGUGAUGCGCUCUCAAAGAGUCGAGUUGUUUGGGAAUGCAGCUCAAAAUGGGUGGUAAAUUCCAUCUAAAGCUAAAUAUAGGCGAGAGACCGAUAGCGAACAAGUACCGUGAGGGAAAGAUGAAAAGCACUUUGGAAA
This 390-nucleotide ribosomal RNA is filed under the name Tomentella tenuis. RNAcentral's name for it is "eukaryotic LSU rRNA". It matches the Rfam family "Eukaryotic large subunit ribosomal RNA", at positions 1 to 382 of the family's 3401-position model. The record is from RNAcentral. Lineage: Eukaryota; Fungi; Basidiomycota; Agaricomycetes; Thelephorales; Thelephoraceae. RNAcentral also lists the same sequence under 1 other name.